Molecule: ribosomal RNA, 492 nt
Filed under: uncultured bacterium
Lineage: Bacteria
Description: partial 16S ribosomal RNA
Rfam family: Bacterial small subunit ribosomal RNA
Source: RNAcentral
AGUGAACGCUGGCGGUAGGCCUAACACAUGCAAGUCGAACGGCAGCACAGUAAGAGCUUGCUCUUACGGGUGGCGAGUGGCGGACGGGUGAGGAAUACAUCGGAAUCUACUUUUUCGUGGGGGAUAACGUAGGGAAACUUACGCUAAUACCGCAUACGACCUACGGGUGAAAGCAGGGGAUCUUCGGACCUUGCGCGAUUGAAUGAGCCGAUGUCGGAUUAGCUAGUUGGCGGGGUAAAGGCCCACCAAGGCGACGAUCCGUAGCUGGUCUGAGAGGAUGAGCAGCGACACUGGAAGUGAGACAGGGUCCAGACUCCUACGGGAGGCAGCAGUGGGGAAUAUUGGACAAUGGGCGCAAGCCUGAUCCAGCAAUACCGCGUGGGUGAAGAAGGCCUUCGGGUUGUAAAGCCCUUUUGUUGGGAAAGAAAAGCAGCAGGUUAAUACCCCGCUGUUCUGACGGUACCCAAAGAAUAAGCACCGGCUAACUUCGUG